RNAcentral lists this ribosomal RNA (468 nucleotides) under uncultured bacterium. RNAcentral's name for it is "partial 16S ribosomal RNA". It matches the Rfam family "Bacterial small subunit ribosomal RNA", at positions 28 to 507 of the family's 1533-position model. The record is from RNAcentral.
GACGAACGCUGGCGGCGUGCUUAACACAUGCAAGUCGAACGGAAAGGCCCUGCUUUUGUGGGGUGCUCGAGUGGCGAACGGGUGAGUAACACGUGAGUAACCUGCCCUUGACUUUGGGAUAACUUCAGGAAACUGGGGCUAAUACCGGAUAGGAGCUCCUGCUGCAUGGUGGUGGUUGGAAAGUUUCGGCGGUUGGGGAUGGACUCGCGGCUUAUCAGCUUGUUGGUGGGGUAGUGGCUUACCAAGGUUUUGACGGGUAGCCGGCCUGAGAGGGUGACCGGCCACAUUGGGACUGAGAUACGGCCCAGACUCCUACGGGAGGCAGCAGUGGGGAAUAUUGCACAAUGGGCGGAAGCCUGAUGCAGCAACGCCGCGUGCGGGAUGACGGCCUUCGGGUUGUAAACCGCUUUCGCCUGUGACGAAGCGUGAGUGACGGUAAUGGGUAAAGAAGCACCGGCUAACUACGUG